GGGUAGUUUGACUGGGGCGGUCUCCUCCUAAAGAGUAACGGAGGAGCACGAAGGUUGGCUAAUCCUGGUCGGACAUCAGGAGGUUAGUGCAAUGGCAUAAGCCAGCUUGACUGCGAGCGUGACGGCGCGAGCAGGUGCGAAAGCAGGUCAUAGUGAUCCGGUGGUUCUGAAUGGAAGGGCCAUCGCUCAACGGAUAAAAGGUACUCCGGGGAUAACAGGCUGAUACCGCCCAAGAGUUCAUAUCGACGGCGGUGUUUGGCACCUCGAUGUCGGCUCAUCACAUCCUGGGGCUGAAGUAGGUCCCAAGGGUAUGGCUGUUCGCCAUUUAAAGUGGUACGCGAGCUGGGUUUAGAACGUCGUGAGACAGUUCGGUCCCUAUCUGCCGUGGGCGCUGGAGAACUGAGGGGGGCUGCUCCUAGUACGAGAGGACCGGAGUGGACGCAUCACUGGUGUUCGGGUUGU
This 462-nucleotide ribosomal RNA is filed under the name Escherichia coli. RNAcentral describes it as "partial 23S ribosomal RNA". It matches the Rfam family "Bacterial large subunit ribosomal RNA", at positions 2263 to 2724 of the family's 2925-position model. Lineage: Bacteria; Pseudomonadati; Pseudomonadota; Gammaproteobacteria; Enterobacterales; Enterobacteriaceae. The record is from RNAcentral.